AAAUCUUCAAAGUAAACCUUUUGUUAAUUCAAUUGGUUCCUUACUUUGGUAUUGGAGGUCUUUGCAGUUUCACAACUGCUCCUCUUUGUUCAUUAGCUGGAUCUCAGUGUUAUGCUUGGUUCCACUCGGCGUGAUAAGUAUCUAUCGCUGAGGACACUUGUAAAAAGGUGGCCAAGGUAAACGCAGAUGAACCGCUUCUAACAGUCCAUUGACUUGGACAAUAAAUAUUUAUG
Molecule: unclassified non-coding RNA, 233 nt
Filed under: uncultured Ceratobasidiaceae
Lineage: Eukaryota; Fungi; Basidiomycota; Agaricomycetes; Cantharellales; Ceratobasidiaceae
Description: sequence contains ITS2
Source: RNAcentral